RNAcentral lists this long non-coding RNA (322 nucleotides) under Mytilus galloprovincialis (Mediterranean mussel). Lineage: Eukaryota; Metazoa; Mollusca; Bivalvia; Mytilida; Mytilidae. The record is from RNAcentral.
GGGGGGUUCUUCUAUUUCGGGAAGAGGUAUGCUAUCUUUAUAAAUGAAUACAUAUUGUUCAGUUGGUGCCACUUUAAAAAUAGCGAUAUACUUGUUACAACAAAGUUAAGUUGACUGCAUUGGCUCAGAGUAAUAAAAGUAUACAAGUGUUUCUUUAAUAUACAUGUAGGCUAUUGGCUUUUUUAAAAAUAUUUUACCGGAAGAGCUACAACGACAUUGAUCGUUCCAAAAAGUGGGUCCCAAUCCCCAGGACCAUUCCCCUGGAUACGCCACUGGAGGAGGUAUGUUGUCAAAAAUAAUUGUAGUAAAUAUUAACGUUUUC